This 406-nucleotide ribosomal RNA is filed under the name uncultured bacterium. Its description in RNAcentral is "partial 16S ribosomal RNA". It matches the Rfam family "Bacterial small subunit ribosomal RNA", at positions 30 to 526 of the family's 1533-position model. The record is from RNAcentral.
AUUGAACGCUGGCGGCAGGCCUAACACAUGCAAGUCGAACGAGUGGCGGACGGGUGAGUAAUGUCUGGGAAACUGCCUGAUGGAGGGGGAUAACUACUGGAAACGGUAGAUAAUACCGCAUACCAUCAGAUGGGGCCAGAGGGGAUUAGCUAGUUGGUGGGGUAAAGGCUCACCAAGGCGACGAUCCCUAGCUGGUCUGCGAGGAUGACCAGCCACACGGGAACUGAGACACGGUCCAGACUCCUACGGGAGGCAGCAGUGGGGAAUAUUUCACAAUGGGCGAAAGCCUGAUGCAGCCAUGCCGCGUGUAUGAAGAAGGCCUUCGGGUUGUAAAGUACUUUCAGCGGGGAGGCGUUACCCGCAGAAGAAGCACCGGCUAACUCCGUGCCAGCAGCCGCGGUAAUAC